GACGAACGCUGGCGACGUGCUUAACACAUGCAAGUCGAACGGAAAGGCCCUGCUUUUGUGGGGUGCUCGAGUGGCGAACGGGUGAGUAACACGUGAGUAACCUGCCCUUGACUUUGGGAUAACUUCAGGGAACUGGGGCUAAUACCGGAUAGGAGCUCCUGCUGCAUGGUGGGGGUUGGAAAGUUUCGGCGGUUGGGGAUGGACUCGCGGCUUAUCAGCUUGUUGGUGGGGUAGUGGCUUACCAAGGCUUUGACGGGUAGCCGGCCUGAGAGGGUGACCGGCCACAUUGGGACUGAGAUACGGCCCAGACUCCUACGGGAGGCAGCAGUGGGGAAUAUUGCACAAUGGGCGGAAGCCUGAUGCAGCAACGCCGCGUGCGGGAUGACGGCCUUCGGGUUGUAAACCGCUUUCGCCUGUGACGAAGCGUGAGUGACGGUAAUGGGUAAAGAAGCACCGGCUAACUACGUG
This 468-nucleotide ribosomal RNA is filed under the name uncultured bacterium. RNAcentral describes it as "partial 16S ribosomal RNA". It matches the Rfam family "Bacterial small subunit ribosomal RNA", at positions 28 to 507 of the family's 1533-position model. The record is from RNAcentral.